UGGAGGACUGAGAAGGUUGAGCAGCCUGUACUGUGCUGUUAUAACUGGUUAUAGCCUCCAACAGCAACAGACAAACAAACAACUUUGUACUUGGUUCUGUCUCUAUCAGAGCUGAUUUUUGUGUUUGUGAACAAAUG
Non-coding RNA from Xyrichtys novacula (pearly razorfish), 137 nucleotides. The record is from the annotation of a GenBank genome assembly. NCBI's taxonomy places the organism in Eukaryota, Metazoa, Chordata, Actinopteri, Labriformes, Labridae.